UUCUUGAAAAAUAGAAGAAUGAAAGUGUGGGGAAGAAUGGGAAGGGAAGACCCUAUUUAUAGAAAUUAGGAACCAUCGGAUUCACGUCAAGUGGAAAAAUCCAGUAAAAAGAGAAAGAAAAAUGAUGCUCAGUAUAAAAAACGAGGGAGGAAAAUAUCCUCCGUCGGUAAUGAUGGCGCACCACUCAAGGUGAUAGCAGCGCACUGCCUAAGGCGGUAGUGGCCCUCUUGGUGUGUUGCAAGCUAGCCUGCAAGCGCAUAGCCCUCCUUGCCGCGCGUACAGGGUUUUGGCGGGCAAGGUGUCGCGUGCGUAGGCCUACUGCGCGUUGGUCCCAGACGCACAGGGGCCUAUCUGAGCAGGCCUACUAUGCAGACAGUGCACGCAUAGUGUUCGACGCCUGUCUGCAUGCGAGGUGAUGUGCGGACGGCCUGUCUGUGCAUGACAGGAUACGCGCAAGGUCUAACCCCGCGACGCGUGUGCGGAUGGGGAGUUCAUGCUAUAUGCAUGUCCCGCGCUUGCUGUACGUGCAUGCGCACCCACAGUGCGUAGAUGCCCGUGCAGGCAGCUGUCCUUCCAUGUGGGAUUUUUCCCGUUUCGCCACUUUUCUAAAAUUUCAUUUUUUUUGUACUGAAAUAAAAUAAAA
RNAcentral lists this long non-coding RNA (643 nucleotides) under Carica papaya (papaya). RNAcentral describes it as "long non-coding RNA (CPAP_LNC010789)". The record is from RNAcentral. Lineage: Eukaryota; Viridiplantae; Streptophyta; Magnoliopsida; Brassicales; Caricaceae.